GCUCUGCCCUCAAGAGGGCGACAGCUUCCUUGAGAAUCCUUCCUCUGGCUUCUGAGACCUGGAGGAGGGUCUCUCCAGAUGUGUCAGAGGGUGGCCCUGAGGCCCGGGUCACUGUAUCUCUUGGGAUUUUGUUCCAGGUGUGGGCUAUCUGAUAGAGCUGGGCCCACAGUUCUAGCCACGCAGCCUGUUCCUCACUUCCUGGCAUGUGCCUGCUCCGGUCCCCCUGUAGCAUCAUGGGAGCCGUUCUUCCUCCACAGCCCUGACCCCGUUCUUACCGACAAGGAAUGAGAGAGAAGACUGGGACUGAGGGUUGAGCCCAGCUUCUGGGCUUCCUUUGUGCAAUGACCUGAGCUGUUCUUUUGUCAGUUGUCAUUGGAUGGACACGGCAAUGUGACAGGCCCUCAGGAGGGGCUGGAUCCCAGGAUCAGUAGUCUGGUGUUCAAGCCAUCCACAGGGAGCUGACACUCUGGCAGAGUCCAAGACAAUCAGGAAGACAAAGGUGCUGAGGUAAGUCCACAUGAAAACAGCCAUGGAGGAUGUUUACUAAAGCCACAAGGUGAACCCAAGGGCAAACUGCAGGUCAGAGUAGCUAGGCUUCCCUAAAGCCUAGAACUAGCACAAGACAAGACACACAGAGCAAAAUCUGCUCUGUUCCUCUCAUCAUCUUUGGCCAUAUAGUUCUCAUGAGCUUGAGGCCCGAAGAAUGUCAGCGGCAGCCUGGCUGAAGGGCAGGUGAUGAGCACAGAAAGAAGCCAUUUUGUUUAAACUGGGUCGCCGGAGUCCUCACUCCUGCUGGAGAGCCAGGACCUCAGAAGACAGGACCUCUGCUCAGGU
This is a non-coding RNA of Peromyscus maniculatus bairdii (prairie deer mouse), 834 nucleotides long. The record is from RefSeq and is a predicted model, not a curated record. Lineage: Eukaryota; Metazoa; Chordata; Mammalia; Rodentia; Cricetidae.